AUAAGAAAUAAGGCAUAUAAUUGUUUUCGUCUAUGGGUAUUAUGUUUUAAAAUUGUACCCCAAUCAAAAUCAAACCAUAACGAUUUAUUUAGCAGGAUUUCAAACUCGUCGAUACUUUGGAACAGUGCUACGCAUGAUGAGGCUGAAAUCGUUAUGUAAGAUAACACACUGAAACACUAAACUUGGUGACUGCAGCGAGAAGGCCUUGAGAAACAUUUCAUA
Molecule: long non-coding RNA, 222 nt
Organism: Erpetoichthys calabaricus (reedfish)
Lineage: Eukaryota; Metazoa; Chordata; Cladistia; Polypteriformes; Polypteridae
Exons: 2
Source: RefSeq, a predicted model, not a curated record